UACGUAGGUGGCAAGCGUUAUCCGGAAUUAUUGGGCGUAAAGCGCUCGCAGGCGGUUUCUUAAGUCUGAUGUGAAAGCCCACGGCUCAACCGUGGAGGGUCAUUGGAAACUGGGAGACUUGAGUGCAGAAGAGGAGAGUGGAAUUCCACGUGUAGCGGUGAAAUGCGUAGAGAUGUGGAGGAACACCAGUGGCGAAGGCGACUCUCUGGUCUGUAACUGACGCUGAGACGCGAAAGCGUGGGGAGCGAACAGG
This 253-nucleotide ribosomal RNA is filed under the name uncultured bacterium. RNAcentral describes it as "partial 16S ribosomal RNA". It matches the Rfam family "Bacterial small subunit ribosomal RNA", at positions 524 to 776 of the family's 1533-position model. The record is from RNAcentral.